This 2795-nucleotide long non-coding RNA is filed under the name Canis lupus familiaris (dog). RNAcentral describes it as "lncRNA (ENSCAFG00845027477.1)". The record is from RNAcentral. Lineage: Eukaryota; Metazoa; Chordata; Mammalia; Carnivora; Canidae.
UUUUUUUUUUUUUUUUUGCCUGAAGGGAGUGCCUCUUCCUGGGCUAGAAACGAGCACCGGCCUGCAGUGAGUGAGGAGCCGCACCCCCAGCGCCCCAAGAGUGGCCACGGCCUCAGGACUGGCGGGGAAGGUCCCCCGUCUCCCCUCUCCUCGGUGCCUGAGAGCUCUGCCCACUGAACGGUGAGGAGGCAGGAGGAAGAGGAGGCGAGGAAGGCGGCCGGGAGGUGAGUGAGGAAGCCUCAGCCCCCGGGAAGGUGUCCAGGAGCCUCCUCGAGACCUGAGACCUCGGUGAGGGGCAGGCUGGAGGGGGCAGCGGGCAGGCAGGUGGCCCUCCGGGACGUUCUGGGUACUGUCAGGCAGGGGCCCUUACAGGUGCCGUCUCGCAGGCCUCGCUGGCUGUACCUUGUAAUUCCCACCAGCCCAGCCCACAGCAGGCGGCAGCUCUUCCGACGCCCUGCCUGCCCCGGCCCGGCCUCUGCUGUCAUCAGCUGUGAUGCCCGUCUGGGGCAAGGUAGUGUCACUGAGGCUGGUGCCCUGAAUUCUUGCUUGGGAGAGAGGCUCCCAGACAGGAAGGGCAGUGAACUGGUCGUGUCUGUGCUGAACAGGUCAGGAGGCAGCCCCAGGCACUGAUGCUGUUUGGCACAUCCCAGCCUGCUCGCUCAUUCCCCAGAUCCCCAACCUGCUAAAAUGGAUCCAGCUUUUCCCACCCCCGAUGAGUGGCAUCCUGCCUGGGAUGUAUAGAUGCUGCUAGGAACACCAAGGGCUAAGACAUGAAGAGCUCCCUGGGGUGUGGGCUGUGUUUUCUGUGUCUUGUCCUAUUCUGGUCUGUUUCUGGGCUCCCCUGAUGUAUUUUCCUAGGUCGGGGAAAAGAGGAGGGUCCAGUCUACAUCUGUGUUCGGGUCUUUGGGAACUGGUGUAGCACAUACUAUAAUACUGCCCAGUUCUCCUCAGGCCAUACGUAGGACAGUAGCUGAGAACACAUUUGGAAUCAGAAAGAAUUGGGUUCAAAUUCUGACUUUGCCUUUUUUGCCACAAGCAAGUUAUUUUACUUCUCUUCAAACUUAAAUGUCCUCACCUAUAAAACGGGGUGACUGGGCCUUCCUCAUAGUAUAAUUGUGAGAAGUCACAGUGAUAAAUAAUAAAUGUCGAACAUCCCUGGCCGUUAGCCACCUCCCCAACCUCUAGUUAUUGCUUUGGAGAGGUUAAACUACCUGAGCCCUGAGUUCUCUUGGAGAACUUUGAGGAUCAUCUGGCUCUGUGGCAGGAGAUUGUGGUGGCGGGUAGGGGGGAGGCAGUGGUUGUUAGAGCAAGCCAUGAGAAUAAAGUAAAGGCAGAGGGUCCGUGCAGGGCAGGGAGUGAGGUGGCCCGGGGAAGGGGCCAUUUCUGAAAGAGGAUCCAGCUUUGGAGGCAGAGACAGCAGCCUGUUCUGUACAUGUCACAUGUGCUCACAUGUCCAUGGGAGACCUUGGACACACUGUUGCCACAGGGCUGCCUAGGACAGAGUCUAUGGCUUGAGGCUUCCAGUCCUAGCUCUGCCCUCAGUGGCUUUGUGAUCUGGGGCAAGUCCUUCUCUGGGCACCAGGCAUGUUAGAGAAGCUUGGAGGCAGAGACACUGGAUUACCAUCUCAGACGGUGUUUCUCUCUGAGCCUCGGUUUCUUCACCUGUAAAACAGAGCUCAUAAUAUCUAGCUUGUAGAAUUGUGACCAUAAAAUGCAAUAGUAAGAAAUACCUAGCACACCGUCUGACACGUGCUCUGCACUUUAUACCUGUCUGUGUGUAUGUUCCCUUUCUGGUCUCCCCUUCCCUCUCCCCAGCCACCUGCAUCUUUAAGAUACAUCCAGUGAAGCAGCUUUGACCCAUCUCACAAUAUUGUGAGCCUAAAGUGAAGAGUGACUAGCAUAAUAACUAGCAUAAACAGAGAUACAGAAAGUUAAGAGCUAUAAAACAUCUUUUUGUGUUAUUGGGGGACUUAAUCCUGUGACAAGGGACUUUAGAGGUUCUGUCCAGCCAUUCUCUAAGGACUCUGUGAUGAGGACUCAGGCCUCUGCAUGUAAAGGCUGCUGAAAAUCUGGGAUAGUGAAGAGGUGCCCGGGUCACAGCCCUUUCGGGAAGGCCAUUCUUUACUUUUCCCUUGGCGAUAACCCCGUGCCCAGGAAAGCCCAAUGCUGUGGAUUCUAAGUACAGUGAACUGAGGUCAGAGGGCUGCUCUGGCUUGAGCCGCUGCUGGACCACAGCACUGCAUUAGUAGGCAGGCCUGAGUCAAUAUUGACCUUCCUGGCUGGCCAGCCUGGCUCUUUGGCCUCUCAUUCAACUGGAGUGUUGACACAAGAGAUUGAAUGAGCUUUAUUAUCAUAUUCUUUUCAACAACAGCCCCAUUAUCUCUACCCUGGGGAUUCACUGGGACCUGUAGUGUGGGAAUAGUGACAAGGGCAGGGGACCCAGGUAUUUUGGCUUAUGUGCAUAAUGCCCUCCGCCCUGCAUACUCAGCUUCUCUCUGGGCCUGUCCAGUGGGACAGCAAAACCUCAAGGUACUGCUCAGCAUCCUGGGGACACUCCAUGCCUCAGCACGGUGGCUCUGGGCAGAUCUCACUGAGCCUUUGAGCAGUGGCAGUGAGGGGCACAGCCUGGGUCUAGGACCCAUCCACCCUGCAGGUGACAGUUGGGGAGACAAGGUAAUGAAACUCUCUUCAGGCCCCUCCUCCUGGUGAGACUUCAGGAACCAGGAAAUGGUGCUGGGAUGCCACCUCUCCUGACUCCUGUCAUGUGAAGAGGGGUAGAUGGCAGGCCCAGCCCC